Lachnospiraceae bacterium 28-4 is the source of this 84-nucleotide transfer RNA. It matches the Rfam family "tRNA". From Rfam's summary of the family: Transfer RNA (tRNA) molecules are approximately 80 nucleotides in length. The record is from Rfam. NCBI's taxonomy places the organism in Bacteria, Bacillati, Bacillota, Clostridia, Lachnospirales, Lachnospiraceae.
GCCGAUGUGGCGGAAUUGGCAGACGCAUCAGACUCAAAAUCUGACGAUGGCAACAUUGUACGAGUUCAAGUCUCGUCAUCGGCA